This 1739-nucleotide long non-coding RNA is filed under the name Zostera marina. Its description in RNAcentral is "long non-coding RNA (ZMAR_LNC005819)". Lineage: Eukaryota; Viridiplantae; Streptophyta; Magnoliopsida; Alismatales; Zosteraceae. The record is from RNAcentral.
AGAAGAAUAUCAUCAUACAUCCAUACCCAUAAAUACCCAGUCUUUGUUAACAAGCAUAUUGAUCAUUGGAUCAACUAAAUUGAAUGCAUAAUAUGGUGUCUAUUACCUACAGAUUAUAAAAAUAGGAUGCGUAUUUGGUGCGGUUCGAUGGGUCCGCCCGUCGUCUGGAUGUGAUGCGGUUCAGUCAUUGAAGUUCACCACGACGACGAAGUGCGGUUUCUUUGUGGCACAUUCAAGGAUGGGCUGCAUUGAUUUAACAUGUCUAAAUCAAAUCUUUAAAUUAAUGAGGAGGAUUAUAAAUUAAGUUUAAACUUUAAAACCCUUCCAAUUAACCAAUAAAUAUGCUUGAAUUAAUAAAUUAUACAGACCAUUAGGAAUCGCCGCAUUAGACAUCGAUCGAUGUUACCAAGAAAUAUUAAAAGACGAACCAAUUUAUAUACAAAAUAUUAAAACAGAUACUACCUAUACCCGAGAGAUUCAUUCGUUAAUCAGAGCGAACCAGUAAUUAAGUUCAUGCACGUGUGUAACUGUGUAUUAAGAUUUUAUUUAUUUAUUUAUUUAUAAUAAUGGGUUAAUUAGAAAGGAGGGGGACAAUCAAUUUAUUUUGUGUUGUUGCUUGAAAACAACGGUUAGUAUAUAUCCAUCCUUGAUGAAAAGAAUGAAUGUUUGUUCUUCUUUCUUUUGAUAGCAUCUCUUUACUUGUUUUCUCAGUGCUAGGUGACAGUGUACCGUCCUAUUAAAUGUGUUUCUUCUAUGAACGUAUGAGUUAUAUACAAUUAGCCACUCACGUUAAUUGCAUUACAUGACACCCGAGUUAAUUCCAAAUUUGCUUCAUUGGAUUCUUACUAUUUUCUUCUAAAUUACCCAACAAUUCUAAAACUGGUAUUUGAUUUUUUAAAUGUUUCUAAAUUAAGUUUUUGAACUAAAGGAAGAAAGAAAUAAUUGAAGACGAUCUCCUUAAUACUACCCAGGAAGUAAUGAAUAGAUUCCCUUAAUUGUGGGCAAAAAAUAGCAUUUGACACCUGACACUGCAGAUUCUGUAGAAGAAGCAACUAUUAUUUUGUUUUCACCCACCCAGCCGGCCAGCCAUCAGUUUUUUUUAGGAACUCAAUGAAUGGUAUUAGCAUCAAUCCCGUUCCCCACUCCCCGCGCGUGAGUUCUUAAAAAAUAAGUAGAGAGAGAACUGAGAAAGAGACAGGUCCAUCAAAUAAAUUUCCCAUCUUUCCCUUUCACACUCGCACUAUAAAUUGCUCUCCCACUCUCCCUUCCGUCUUGUGUAAUUUGUGUCCUAGUGUUUGGUGGUCUUUUCCUUUCAGUUUUCACUCUCUUUUUCGUCUACCUAUUCCUCUCCACUACCCAUUGUUCGUUCUAGUGUGUAGGUUCUGCUAGAAGUUGUGGUGAACCAAAACCAGACAGAUUAAAGAAGAAAAAUGGAUAAAAGUGGCACCUGUUACUGCUGUUACUGCCGUCGCCGAGAAGCUGCAGCCAACCCCUCCUUCUCCUCCAGUUUACUUGACGCAAUCUAUCGAUCUAUUGACGAAGGAGAUGACGGCAACAACGAUCGGCCGACAAGACCUAGAUAUUGUGGAAUCCAAAAAGGAAACAUUUCGUUAAACAUUACUGCAGUCGAGAACAAAAAGAAGCAAGUCACCACUGUGGUGACGGAAAAAGCUAACGCUCGGCAACUCACCACUGUCAAGACCUACGAUCGUCGCGGAUGCAAGCCAAAUCAAGACAAG